GGUGUAGGCGGCUUUGCAAGUCGGAUGUGAAAUCCCUGGGCCCAACCCAGGAACUGCAUUCGAUACUGCAUCGCUAGAGUCCCGGAGAGGAUGGCGGAAUUCCAGGUGUAGAGGUGAAAUUCGUAGAUAUCUGGAGGAACACCAGUGGCGAAGGCGGCCAUCUGGACGGUGACUGACGCUCAGACCCGAAAGCGUGGGGAGCAAACAGGAUUAGAUACCCCGGUAGUCC
RNAcentral lists this ribosomal RNA (229 nucleotides) under uncultured bacterium. RNAcentral's name for it is "partial 16S ribosomal RNA". It matches the Rfam family "Bacterial small subunit ribosomal RNA", at positions 568 to 796 of the family's 1533-position model. The record is from RNAcentral.